Long non-coding RNA from Triticum aestivum (bread wheat), 1717 nucleotides. RefSeq lists it as uncharacterized. The record is from RefSeq and is a predicted model, not a curated record. The transcript has 4 exons. NCBI's taxonomy places the organism in Eukaryota, Viridiplantae, Streptophyta, Magnoliopsida, Poales, Poaceae.
ACGGCACACUCCCCACAGGCCACAGCCUGUUUCUGACCGAGACGCCCUUUCCGGAAAAGGUUCCGGGGAAGGUCCCGUAGGGCCUAGAAGGCUGGUGCGCAUGUGCUCAACGACCCCACGAAGGAUUUAGUUAGGCUGGUGUAUAUUCAGCCUGUUUUAAAUUGUUGUCGGUGACAAAAACAUGUCUCUGUCUGUCUGUCUGUCAUAUAGAUUUCUGAAUUUUUCGACCUAAUCUGAUCCUGCUUUUUCUGGGGGAGGAGGGGGGAUUCAAUUUGAUCCUGCUUUAAAGGAGAAUGCACCCGUCUAGGUUGUCUCCAACACCGGCCCUUGAGACGGACAUAGUAUUUGUCUGUGCCCAAAAACCUCCACCCGAAGUAGAAACAAAAUUCAAACCAGAUGGAUAAAUAUAGGGAUGGCAAUUUGCUCCAUGGAUCCGGAUACCCGUGGAUACCCGACCCGAAUGGGCAAGGGUAUGGAGCGCAUUUCUGCCCAUGGGUCGGUGGAUAUGGAUACCCGUGAACAGCCGGGUUAGGCAUGGGUAUAAUUUCUGCUCCAUGGAUAUCCAAUGGAUACCCGUAUGACAUGUGGGGCCAUAUGGCAGUGACAUUGGAGUAAGCACACGUCCAACCUCACAGUCGCUCGCGGUCACAGAGGUCAAAGCCCGGCCCAUGUUCCCUAACCCCCCACAACCCCACAAACCUAGUAAUUAUUAAACCUAAUCUAAGCUGUGUGUCAACCCCAAAUCACCCCGAGUCCACCUCCCUCGGUCCCUCCCCAUCCCCAGCACCCCAGCGCGGCGGCGCUCUACCCAAAUCACAAUCGCCGCCCCCACGGCCCUGCCUCUCCCUGUCCGUCCACCCCAGCGCGACCGGCCUCGGUGACCGGCGUUUGUCACCACUGACCAGCAACAUCUUGAGUCCAGCACUCCAGCUCCCUCCCCAGCGCGACCGGCCUCGGCGAGACGGCGACCAGCAUCGGCAAGACGGUGAUAGGCCUCGACGACCAACACAGGCGACCGGCAGACGGCAACAUACCCAUGAAGUAAAUCUCCAAUGGAAGGGGGCAAGAGCAACCAUGGGAAGGGCAGGGCGGGAAUGUUAGUGUCCCACGGAGGAGUUUGCGUGGUCGGCAUCCAGCACCGGAGUUGCCAUGCACCGGUGAGCAACAGGGCGUCGACGACAACACCAUUAGCACUGAAAAGGCUCCCGAAAACAGUGUUGCUCCUAUAGCGGAUGUCUCAGGCGUGGCUGGAGCAGCCGUGGUGGCAAGUUCAACUCCACAAGAGGGUACGAGUACAGUAGUGGAGCAGCCAAAACUGACCGAUUCUAGAAGGAAGCGUACAUCAGAUGUAUGGGAUGAUUUUAAGACAGAACUAAUCAAUGGGAAAUGGCAGGCAAUAUGCAACUGUGUCAUAAGUCAUAUGCCGAAGAAUCAAUCUCUGGAUAAAAAUGAGCCCAUCAUUACGGAAGACUAAUUUGGAGCCAAGUAUGCUCAUGUGGACAUGUGGCCGGGUCUCCAAUUACUAGUGCAUGUACUGUUGGAAGUGCAUUAGAAUUUUGAAAUAUGUUACGUCCUUUAUUUAUGCAACUUCGGUUGUGAUUAAUAAGAUCUUACAACUUUGGUUGUGAUGUAAUAAGAUUUUAAGACCAGAAUUCUACUAUGAUACUGCUUGAGUUGUCAACUUGUCAUUAUGUGGUCUACUACAUUUGUUUGAUGA